AUUGAACGCUGGCGGCAGGCCUAACACAUGCAAGUCGAGCGGCGCGUCGGACGGGUGAUUAAUGCCUAGUAAUCUGCCUGGUAGUGGGGGAUAACGUCCGGAAACGUGCGCUAAUACCGCAUGCUAUCAGAUGAGCCUAGGUCGGAUUAGCUAGUUGGUGGGGUAAAGGCCUACCAAGGCGACGAUCCGUAACUGGUCUGAGAGGAUGAUCAGUCACACUGGAACUGAGACACGGUCCAGACUCCUACGGGAGGCAGCAGUGGGGAAUAUUGGACAAUGGGCGAAAGACUGAUCCAGCCAUGCCGCGUGAGUGAAGAAGGUCUUCGGAUUGUAAAGCACUUUAAGUUGGGAGGCGUUACCAACAGAAUAAGCACCGGCUAACUUCGUGCCAGCAGCCGCGGUAAUAC
Molecule: ribosomal RNA, 407 nt
Filed under: uncultured bacterium
Lineage: Bacteria
Description: partial 16S ribosomal RNA
Rfam family: Bacterial small subunit ribosomal RNA
Source: RNAcentral